UGAGGCUCCUUGCUGCCCUUCCUACCUUUCCUGCCAUGGCCGCCCGAGGUGAGGGAAGGGAAGGGAAGGGAAGGGAAGGGAAGGGCUGAUCCUCCCCCCGUCUGCGAAGACGGGGGCGGUGGGGUUUCUCUGCCCCCCCCCCCGCGUCUCUCGCUCCCGCCAACCCCCGGGCUGGUGGCCCUGGCCCCUCCGUGGAAGUCUGGGCAGAGAUGCCGCCUCCAGCGGAGAGGCCCCAGGAGGCCGGGCGGGCCUUGCCGCAGAUCUCACGUGCAUGUGCAAAGCGCCUUGGCUUGUGGGCUUGCCUUGGAUGGGGGCGGGGGUCCUCCCUUCCUGACCCCCCCCCCGCCCGCACCAGGAAUCAGACGCAGGGCUCGGCUUUCAUGGGCGCAGAGGCCACGUUGGAAAGCGUACUUAACAUGCCCUCCUUAUGGCACUUUUCGCCUUCAUAUGGUCCAGAUCUUCCUUUGGCCAGCGUGCCUAAGAGACCAACGCUGUCAAAAUCAUCUGUUUGCCAUCUCAAGGACCAUCGCUGAGAGAUCAUUUCCAGUGUGAAGGUUCUGGCUAUGGAAGAGAUCACAGGACUGGGGUUGACUGCUCCAGGACCCCGGAGACAACGAACGUGCACUUGAUAUCCCAGAGCGUUCGUCAGAGAAACGACAAGCAUCAGACAGUGAUCGGCGACAUGAUCUCUGCUGGAGGUGGAGAGCGGCAGACCGAUUCAUGCAAAGGAGAUGCUGGCAGUCCCGUCAUUCGUGAGGCCGACGCCAGGAAGGAGCUGUGUGGAACCGUAAGCGGGGCGCUAGCUGUGCCGAGAAGGAGAAACCCAGAGUCUAAACAAGGGUCCCAUGGGUCGAAUCACACGUGAACGGGGCCCGCUUCAGGACCCACCGCCCUCCUGAAUGAACACGGGAACUUUCUUUGCAGGCUGCUGGGCGACUCCUUGAAAGUGAGCAAAUGAAUGUCACGGUGUCGAGCCAGUUUUGGAGCCGAUUUUUCCUCGGUGGUUAUUUUUGCAGCUUCUCAUGUCAUUCUGUCUGGGGUGAAAAUCUUCAGCCGUCGCUGAAACAAAACUUGUCCCACUGAAAAACAGGACCAUAUCUAAAAUUUGAAUGGGAGCUGCUCUGUCGGUCCAUCCGAUGUGUGCCACUGUAUCUCUAGAAAUUAGUAUUAAAUCAUGGUGUGAGGUUUU
Long non-coding RNA from Varanus komodoensis (Komodo dragon), 1189 nucleotides. RefSeq lists it as uncharacterized. NCBI's taxonomy places the organism in Eukaryota, Metazoa, Chordata, Lepidosauria, Squamata, Varanidae. The record is from RefSeq and is a predicted model, not a curated record. The transcript has 5 exons.